This 253-nucleotide ribosomal RNA is filed under the name uncultured bacterium. RNAcentral describes it as "partial 16S ribosomal RNA". It matches the Rfam family "Bacterial small subunit ribosomal RNA", at positions 524 to 776 of the family's 1533-position model. The record is from RNAcentral.
UACGUAGGGGGCAAGCGUUGUCCGGAAUCAUUGGGCGUAAAGCGCGCGUAGGCGGCCCUGUAAGUCCGUUGUGAAAGUCAAAGGCUCAACCUUUGAAAGCCGAUGGAUACUGCAGGGCUAGAGUCCGGAAGAGGCGAGUGGAAUUCCUGGUGUAGCGGUGGAAUGCGCAGAUAUCAGGAGGAACACCAAUAGCGAAGGCAGCUCGCUGGGACGGUACUGACGCUAAGGCGUGAAAGCGUGGGGAGCGAACAGG